RNAcentral lists this ribosomal RNA (1358 nucleotides) under uncultured bacterium. Its description in RNAcentral is "bacterial SSU rRNA". It matches the Rfam family "Bacterial small subunit ribosomal RNA", at positions 28 to 1381 of the family's 1533-position model. The record is from RNAcentral.
GAUGAACGCUAGCUACAGGCUUAACACAUGCAAGUCGAGGGGCAGCAUGGUCUUAGCUUGCUAAGGCCGAUGGCGACCGGCGCACGGGUGAGUAACACGUAUCCAACCUGCCGUCUACUCUUGGACAGCCUUCUGAAAGGAAGAUUAAUACAAGAUGGCAUCAUGAGUCCGCAUGUUCACAUGAUUAAAGGUAUUCCGGUAGACGAUGGGGAUGCGUUCCAUUAGAUAGUAGGCGGGGUAACGGCCCACCUAGUCUUCGAUGGAUAGGGGUUCCGAGAGGAAGGUCCCCCACAUUGGAACUGAGACACGGUCCAAACUCCUACGGGAGGCAGCAGUGAGGAAUAUUGGUCAAUGGGCGAGAGCCUGAACCAGCCAAGUAGCGUGAAGGAUGACUGCCCUAUGGGUUGUAAACUUCUUUUAUAAAGGAAUAAAGUCGGGUAUGCAUACCCGUUUGCAUGUACUUUAUGAAUAAGGAUCGGCUAACUCCGUGCCAGCAGCCGCGGUAAUACGGAGGAUCCGAGCGUUAUCCGGAUUUAUUGGGUUUAAAGGGAGCGUAGAUGGAUGUUUAAGUCAGUUGUGAAAGUUUGCGGCUCAACCGUAAAAUUGCAGUUGAUACUGGAUAUCUUGAGUGCAGUUGAGGCAGGCGGAAUUCGUGGUGUAGCGGUGAAAUGCUUAGAUUUCACGAAGAACUCCGAUUGCGAAGGCAGCCUGCUAAGCUGCAACUGACAUUGAGGCUCGAAAGUGUGGGUAUCAAACAGGAUUAGAUACCCUGGUAGUCCACACGGUAAACGAUGAAUACUCGCUGUUUGCGAUAUACAGCAAGCGGCCAAGCGAAAGCGUUAAGUAUUCCACCUGGGGAGUACGCCGGCAACGGUGAAACUCAAAGGAAUUGACGGGGGCCCGCACAAGCGGAGGAACAUGUGGUUUAAUUCGAUGAUACGCGAGGAACCUUACCCGGGCUUAAAUUGCAGAUGAAUUACGGUGAAAGCCGUAAGCCGCAAGGCAUCUGUGAAGGUGCUGCAUGGUUGUCGUCAGCUCGUGCCGUGAGGUGUCGGCUUAAGUGCCAUAACGAGCGCAACCCUUGUUGUCAGUUACUAACAGGUUCCGCUGAGGACUCUGACAAGACUGCCAUCGUAAGAUGUGAGGAAGGUGGGGAUGACGUCAAAUCAGCACGGCCCUUACGUCCGGGGCUACACACGUGUUACAAUGGGGGGUACAGAGGGCCGCUACCACGCGAGUGGAUGCCAAUCCCAAAAACCUCUCUCAGUUCGGACUGGAGUCUGCAACCCGACUCCACGAAGCUGGAUUCGCUAGUAAUCGCGCAUCAGCCACGGCGCGGUGAAUACGUUCCCGGGCCU